Asterias rubens (European starfish) is the source of this 4133-nucleotide long non-coding RNA. RefSeq lists it as uncharacterized. The transcript is spliced from 4 exons. Lineage: Eukaryota; Metazoa; Echinodermata; Asteroidea; Forcipulatida; Asteriidae. The record is from RefSeq and is a predicted model, not a curated record.
UGGAGGUGUGUUACUCUGUGAGGGAAGUACACUACUUACCAACGAGUUGUCAACAGGAACCAUGACAACAUGGUCGCUGUCAGCAGGAACCAUGACAACACAUAGCUGUGUCGCUGUGCCAGGGACGUACUUACUCAUCAACGAGCUGUGAACAGGAACCGUGACAACAGGGAGCUUUGUCACUGCGUGAGAGAGGUACAUCUACUUACCACGAGCUGUCAACAGGAACCGUGACAACAGGGAGCUUUGUCACUGCGUGAGAGAGGUAUAUCUACUUACCACGAGCUGUCAACAGGAACCGUGACAACAGGGAGCUUUGUCACUGCGUGAGAGAGGUAUAUCUACUUACCACGAGCUGUCAACAGGAACCAUGACAACAUGGAGCUGUCAACAGGAACCAGUAUGACAAAAUGGAGCUUAAUCGCUGUGUGAGUGACGUACAUCCACUCAUCAACAAGCUUGCAACAGGAAUCAUGACAACAUGGCGCUAGGUUGCUGUGCGAGGGACAUACACCUACCCAUCAUGAGCUGUUAACGGGAACUAUGACAAUAUGGAGCUGUCAACAGGAACUAUGACAACAUGGAGUUGUGCCGCUUUAUAAGGGACAUGUAUUCAUCAACAAGCUGUCACUGGGAACUAUGACAACAUGGAGUGUCGCUGUGUGAGGGACAUACAUCUACUCAUCAACUAGCUGUCAACGGGAACCCUGACAAAAGGGAGUUGUUUCACUGUGUGAGGGACGUACAUUUACUUACUAAUGAGCUGUCAACGGGAACUAUGGCAACGUGGAGCUGUGCCGCUCUAUGAGGGCUGACAUCUACUCAUCAACGAGCUGUCAGUGGAACCAUGACAACAGGGAUCUAGCUGUUUCACUUGUGAGGGACGUACAUUUACUAACUAACGGGCUGUCAACGGGAACUAUGGCAACAUGGAGCUGUGCCGCUCUAUGAGUGACGUACAUCUACUCAUCAACGAGCUGUCAUUGGGAACCAUGACAACAUGGAGGUGUGCCGCUCUGAGGGACGUACAUCUACUCAUCAGAGAGCUGUCAAUGGGAACCAUGACAACAUUGAGGUGUGUCUCUGUGCGAGGGAUGUACAUCUACUAACUAACGGGCUGUCAACGGGAACUAUGGCAACAUGGAGCUGUGCCGCUCUAUGAGGGAUGUACAUCUACUCAUCAAGGAGCUGUCAAUAGGGAACCAUGACAACAUGGAGUUGUGCCGCUCUGUGAGUGACGUACAUCUACUCAUCAACGAGCUGUCAUUGGGAACCAUGAUAACAUGGAGUUGUGCCGCUCUGUGAGUGACGUACAUCUACUCAUCAACGAGCUGUCAGAGGGAGCCAUGACAACAUGGAGGUGUGCCGCUCUGAGGGACGUACAUCUACUCAUCAGAGAGCUGUCAAUGGGAACCAUGACAACAUUGAGGUGUGUCUCUGUGCGAGGGAUGUACAUCUACUAAUUAACAAGCUGGCAACAUAGAGCUAAGUCGCUCCGCGAGACUGUGACAACAAGGAGAUGUGCCGCUCUGUGAGGGACAAACAUCCACUCACCAAUGAGUUGUCAACAGGAACCAUGACAACAUAUGGAGUGCGCUGUGUGCGAGAGAUAAACAUCUACUCAUCAACGAGCUGUCAACAGGAAUCAUAUGACAACAUGAAGUUGUAUCGCUGUGUGCGGGACGUACAUCUACUCAUCAACGAGCUGUCAACAGGAACCAUGACAACAUGGAGUUGUAUCGCUGUGUGAGGGACAGACACCACUCACCAAUGAGCUGUCAACAGGAACCAUGACAACAUUGAGCUGUGUGACGGAUGUACAUCCACUCACCAAUGAGCUGUCAACAGGAACCAUGACAACAUUGAGCUGUGUGAGGGACGUAUACUUCUACUCAUCAUCCCAACGAGCUGUCAACAGGAACCAUGACAACAUGGAGUUGUAUCGCUGUGUGAGGGACGUACAUCCACUAACCAAUGAGCUGUCAACAGGAACCAUGACAACAUUGAGCUGUGUGAGGGACAUACAUCCACUCACCAAUGAGCUGUCAACAGGAACCAUGACAACAUUGAGUUGUGUGAGGGACGUACUUCUACUCAUCGACGAGCUGUCAGCAGGAACCAUGACAACAUGGAGUUGUAUCGCUGUGUGAGGGACGUAUAUCCACUCACCAAUGAGCUGUCGACAGGAACCAUGACAACAUUGAGCUGUGUGAGGGACAUGACAACAUAUGGAGUGCGCUGUGUGCGAGGGAUAAACAUCUACUCAUCAACGAGCUGUCAACAGGAAUCAUAUGACAACAUGAAGUUGUAUCGCUGUGUGCGGGACGUACAUCUACUCAUCAACGAGCUGUCAACAGGAACCAUGACAACAUGGAGUUGUAUCGCUGUGUGAGGGACGUACACCACUCACCAAUGAGCUGUCAACAGGAACCAUGACAACAUUGAGUUAUGUGAGGGACAUACUUCUACUCAUCAACGAGCUGUCAACAGGAACCAUGACAACAUUGAGCUGUGUGAGGGACGUAUAGCUACUCAUUAUCAAGCUGUCAUUGGAAGGGUUGACAUCUACUCAUCAACAGCUUGGUCGAGGCAAAGACAAGAUUGUCAAGAGAUCGUUCUGAUGCAGUGUUCCUCCAGCAACAUGGACAUUGAAGUCAUCAAUCGGGGUGUGGCUUGGCUAGAGGCAAUAACAUCAAGUACUUACUACCAAGCUGCAGUAUGCAACUUCAAGGUUAUCAUGUUGACUUGCUACGAUGUAUGCUCUGCUGUCAACAUGGACCCCCAAAGACGCUGAUGAUGGAGUCUUGUCUGUGGUCAGGAUAGGUCGCCUUGGUACUUUCAUGUCUGAGGUCAGGAGAGUGACGUCUUUGAACUUGUAUCUACUCACUGCAGUUAGAUGAACAGAAAUGACUGCUAUAGAUAACAACUGACUGGUGAAGCUGUGUGUUUCUUCAAAGAUGUUCACGGAAAAGAUUAAAAUCAACAUUAGCCAACAUUUAAAUAUCUGUUAGAACUUGCCAUCAAACAACAAGUUUGAAAUGGACAUUUCUGAAACCUUAUUGAUUCACCUGAGGAUGUAAACAACAAUGAACAGUUUAUUUUGAGUCGUCUUCAUUCCGGACAAAUCUUCAUAUGGACAAUGAUGUAGCACUUGAUCUUCUAGAAUUCAUCUGCAGCAAAAUUGAACUCCAGCACAAGAUGAUCAUCGUUAGGGACAAUAUUACUGUUUUAUACAAGGUUGAUGCCCUGAAGCUGAAAUAUUUAACUACGAAUGAAAUCGUAGUUUGCUCAGAAUGUUGUCAACAUACUUGUAAUGAGGUAUUUCGUUGGAAGUAUGUUGACCAAAUACAUGUAUAUUACUUGUUCAUGUAUUUCUAUAAACGAUUGCAUUCUUGUAAUGAGGUACUUCAUUACAAGUGUGCAAGAAUAUCAUAUUUGCAAUGAAGUACCUCAUUGCAAGUAUGAUUAAGUUUCAUGCUGGUAUAUGAAGUACUUCAUUACAAGCAUAAAACAUUCAGUAUUAAGCAGGGGCUUAUAAUUAAACAUAUUUUGUUAACUUGUAUGGAAGUAAAUGCAGUGGCAGUGGCUAAUUUUAUAGCAUGCAAUAGUAAUUUAAGUUUAGCAUGUAUUUGGGGUGUUAAUACUAACUAAAAGGUUUUAAUUGACAUGUGCCUGGUUUUGAUUUUAGUUAAUUAGUGUAAUAAAUAUUUGUUUGGCACACUUGGAUAAGUAACUCUUGUUAUUGUUUUAAAGUAUCUGUUGUGGGGUGGGAGAUGACAACCUUCACGUGGUCCAUCCUGUUCUAGACUAAUGUCAUCAAACCAAUCUAUGUAGCUACACUCUAUUUUUGUAUAGUGAUGUGUGUAAUAACUAAGUAAAAAUUAAGUUUAAAAGUUUAAUUUGUAUUGUUGGGUAGUUGAACAGUAUACAUGUAUCGCUUUAAGUGUGAAAUAAAUAAUAAAUGUUGGUGGUAUGGAUAAACAAAACUGUGCUGUGGAUUGUACAUUUUGUUAUGUAGAUUAACCCAUUGUUAUGAAAGUUAACCCAUUUUAUAAUGUGGUACACUGUAAAUAUUGCACAGUAUCAUAAUGGUUUUCAGUUGUACAUUAUACAUGAUUGGCUAACAGUGUGAA